Small nuclear RNA from Ochotona princeps (American pika), 102 nucleotides. The record is from Ensembl. Lineage: Eukaryota; Metazoa; Chordata; Mammalia; Lagomorpha; Ochotonidae.
GUGCCUACCUUGGGAGCCCAUAUGCUCAAUUAGAAUGAACAAGAAAAUUUGCAAGUCCCUUUGCAAGGAUGGCAUGUAAAUUUGUGAGCAUUCCAUAUUUUU